UACGUAGGGUGCGAGCGUUAAUCGGAAUUACUGGGCGUAAAGCGUGCGCAGGCGGCUUCGCAAGUCAGACGUGAAAUCCCCGGGCUUAACCUGGGAAUGGCGUUUGAAACUACGGAGCUGGAGUGUGGCAGAGGGAGGUAGAAUUCCACGUGUAGCGGUGAAAUGCGUAGAUAUCUGGAGGAACACCGGUGGCGAAGGCGGCAUCCUGGACCAAUAUUGACGCUGAGGAGCGAAAGCUAGGGGAGCAAACGGG
Molecule: ribosomal RNA, 253 nt
Filed under: uncultured bacterium
Lineage: Bacteria
Description: partial 16S ribosomal RNA
Rfam family: Bacterial small subunit ribosomal RNA
Source: RNAcentral